GAGAGGAGAGGAGAGACGAGCUGCAGCCUGCUGCUGAGUGCUGAGCGAGCGAGCGAGUGAGCUGACUGCUGUGCUGACUGACUGAGCCAGAGGGAGAGGGAGGAUUGGAGCUGCCUUGGAGGAAGUGUACAGUACAGAUCAGAAGAUUUGUGACUGAGCUGGCAAAAUUACAUUUUGAAUAUACCCUUGAGCUGCACAGCACAGAGGAAGAAUUUUGUCAGAAAAGCAAGCGGAGGAGAAGAGGACGCUAGUAGUGACCUCAGCACAGAAAGAAGAAGCUUGACCACGUUGGCACAUCGUUUUACUGUUUGAAAGUUUGACAGUUAUCAAAGUUUGUUGAAUUGGGAAAAUCUGAAGCUGUAUAGUUGAUUCAAGUUCUGGAUGAAAAAUGUCCCCUGGUUUAUACAUGGAAAAUCACCGGUAAAUACUGUUUAUUUUUCUGAUCCCCGCCAUGCUACCAUACUUCUUUUGACUUGGACUUUCAGAGGCAGACACG
Molecule: long non-coding RNA, 496 nt
Organism: Bufo gargarizans (Asiatic toad)
Lineage: Eukaryota; Metazoa; Chordata; Amphibia; Anura; Bufonidae
Exons: 4
Source: RefSeq, a predicted model, not a curated record